GACGGGGGAUGCAAGCGUUAUCCGGAAUCACUGGGCGUAAAGCGGCUGUAGGUGGUGAUGCAAGUCACUGGUGCAAAACUCUGGCUCAACCGGAGGAAAGCCAGUGAAACUGCAUGACUAGAGUGUGGGAGAGGUAGAAGGAAUUCCCUGAGUAGCGGUGAAAUGCGUAGAUACAGGGAAGAACACCGGAGGCGAAAGCGUUCUACUGGAACCCAACUGACACUGAGAGUCGAAAGCUAGGGGAGCGAAUGGG
RNAcentral lists this ribosomal RNA (253 nucleotides) under uncultured bacterium. RNAcentral describes it as "partial 16S ribosomal RNA". It matches the Rfam family "Bacterial small subunit ribosomal RNA", at positions 524 to 776 of the family's 1533-position model. The record is from RNAcentral.